This 434-nucleotide unclassified non-coding RNA is filed under the name soil metagenome. RNAcentral's name for it is "partial contains 5.8S ribosomal RNA, internal transcribed spacer 2, and large subunit ribosomal RNA". The stretch from base 1 to 120 matches the Rfam family "5.8S ribosomal RNA", at positions 35 to 154 of the family's 154-position model. The record is from RNAcentral.
GAUGAAGAACGCAGCGAAAUGCGAUACGUAAUGUGAAUUGCAGAAUUCAGUGAAUCAUCGAAUCUUUGAACGCAUAUUGCGCUCUUUGGUAUUCCGAAGAGCAUGCUUGUUUGAGUAUCAGUAAACACCUCAAAGCUUUUGGAUUUUUUAAUCGAAAAGCUUUGGACUUGAGCAAUCCCAACACCAAUCUUUUUGAGAUCGGUGGCGGGUUGCUUGAAAUGCAGGUGCAGCUGGACAUUCUCCUGAGCUAAAAGCAUAUUAAUUUAGUCCCGUCAAACGGAUUAUUACUUUUGCUGCAGCUAACAUAAAGGGAGUUUGACCGUAUUGGCUGACUGAUGCAGGAUUUCACAAGGGUCGGCAACGAUUCUUGUUAAACUCGAUCUCAAAUCAAGUAAGACUACCCGCUGAACUUAAGCAUAUCAAUAAGCGGAGGA